AAGUCGUAACAAGGUUUAUCCUUCAUUGAAGCCUUGAAACUCAGUCACAGUUCAGUGGGUUUGUCCUGUAUGGUCAUCCUCAUCGACAGUUGGCAACACCGUUCCUGUGCUUGGAUGCCGCAAAGGCAACCAGCAGCUUUGUCAAACAAAGUCCACAGAUCAAACAACGGUGGUCAUGGUUCGCAACCCCAUUAACGGAAGCGAGUCGUGAUUAAGAUAUGACCGGCCCACUCUUGAAAAAGAGUUGGACUCUGCGUUCCGUAGGUGAACCUGCGGAAGGAUCAUUAAUGAGAACUUGCCCUUCGGGGUAGAUCUCCCCACCCUAUGUUUACAUUACCUUUGUUGCUUUGGCAGGCCCGUCUUCGGACCACCGGCUUCGGCUGGUCAGUGCUUGCCAGAGGAUCUCAAACUCUAUAUUUUAUGUUGUCUGAGUAUUAUUUUAAUAAGUUAAAA
RNAcentral lists this unclassified non-coding RNA (453 nucleotides) under plant metagenome. RNAcentral describes it as "partial contains small subunit ribosomal RNA and internal transcribed spacer 1". The record is from RNAcentral.